RNAcentral lists this ribosomal RNA (469 nucleotides) under uncultured bacterium. RNAcentral describes it as "partial 16S ribosomal RNA". It matches the Rfam family "Bacterial small subunit ribosomal RNA", at positions 28 to 507 of the family's 1533-position model. The record is from RNAcentral.
GACGAACGCUGGCGGCGUGCUUAACACAUGCAAGUCGAACGAUUAAGCACCAGCUUGCUGGUGUGGAUUAGUGGCGAACGGGUGAGUAACACGUGAGUAACCUGCCCCUCACUCUGGGAUAAGCCUGGGAAACUGGUUCUAAUACUGGAUACGACCGAUCUCCGCAUGGAGUGUUGGUGGAAAGUUGUUGUGGUGGGGGAUGGACUCGCGGGCUAUCAGCUUGUUGGUGGGGUCAUGGCCUACCAAGGCGACGACGGGUAGCCGGCCGGAGAGGGCGACCGGCCACACUGGGACUGAGACACGGCCCAGACUCCUACGGGGGGCAGCAGUGGGGAAUAUUGCACAAUGGGCGAAAGCCUGAUGCAGCGACGCCGCGUGAGGGAUGACGGCCUUCGGGUUGUAAACCUCUUUCACCAGGGACGAAGCUAACGUGACGGUACCUGGAGAAGAAGCACCGGCUAACUACGUG